Arabidopsis thaliana (thale cress) is the source of this 244-nucleotide long non-coding RNA. RefSeq annotates it as other RNA. The transcript has a single exon. The record is from RefSeq. NCBI's taxonomy places the organism in Eukaryota, Viridiplantae, Streptophyta, Magnoliopsida, Brassicales, Brassicaceae.
UGAUCCAGUAUUGUUUGUGCGAAAACAUCUCUCAUUGUGUUACUUAGUCUUGGAGUCAGCUUUAUCUACCAUGUUAUCACAAUCAUUACUUCCUUCUUUGUUUGAAGUGGAGAUUGUGAAUGUGGAGGUAGUGGAUGGAGGACUGAUUUGCUCAAGCGGCGUUCUAGUUGAAGAAAUGGGUGAUACAAAUGAAGAUUGCUAUAUAGUGUAUGCCGCAGUCUACGGUGGCUAAUGGCUACUAAGU